UGUAAAUGAAAGCAAUACUAAGCUAACCCUGUAAGAUUUUAAGUGGAAAAUAGUCACAGAUCAAUAAGUCUAACAUAUUAACAUAAUUUGUACCAUAUACAAUAGAGUGUGUGUGUGUGUGUGUGUGUGUGCGUGUGUGUGCGUGUGUAUGUGUCUGCUUCACUGCCUCAAGCUUCUCUCAUAGUACAA
Molecule: small RNA, 189 nt
Filed under: Marmota monax (woodchuck)
Lineage: Eukaryota; Metazoa; Chordata; Mammalia; Rodentia; Sciuridae
Source: RNAcentral